Molecule: ribosomal RNA, 253 nt
Filed under: uncultured bacterium
Lineage: Bacteria
Description: partial 16S ribosomal RNA
Rfam family: Bacterial small subunit ribosomal RNA
Source: RNAcentral
UACAGAGGUCUCAAGCGUUGUUCGGAUUCAUUGGGCGUAAAGGGUGCGUAGGUGGCGGGGUAAGUCGGAUGUGAAAUCCCGGGGCUCAACCUUGGAACUGCAUUCGAUACUGCUUUGCUUGAGUACUGGAGAGGAGAUUGGAAUUUACGGUGUAGCAGUGAAAUGCGUAGAUAUCGUAAGGAAGACCAGUGGCGAAGGCGGAUCUCUGGACAGUUACUGACACUGAGGCACGAAGGCCAGGGGAGCAAACGGG